CUACGGGUGGCACCAGUGAGGAAUAUUGCACAAUGGGGGGAACCCUGAUGCAGCAACGCCGCGUGGAGGAUGACGCAUUUCGGUGUGUAAACUCCUUUUAUAUGUCAAGAAAAUGACGGUAGCAUAUGAAUAAGCACCGGCUAACUCCGUGCCAGCAGCCGCGGUAAUACGGAGGGUGCAAGCGUUACUCGGAAUCACUGGGCGUAAAGGACGCGUAGGCGGGCUUGUAAGUCAGGUGUGAAAUCCUACAGCUUAACUGUAGAACUGCACUUGAAACUACGAGCCUAGAGUAUGGGAGGGGCAGAUGGAAUUAGUGGUGUAGGGGUAAAAUCCGUAGAUAUCACUAGGAAUACCUAAAGCGAAGGCGACCUGCUGGAACAUAACUGACGCUAAGGCGUGAAAGCGUGGGGAGCAAACAGGAUUAGAUACCCCCGUAGUC
RNAcentral lists this ribosomal RNA (439 nucleotides) under uncultured bacterium. RNAcentral describes it as "partial 16S ribosomal RNA". It matches the Rfam family "Bacterial small subunit ribosomal RNA", at positions 339 to 795 of the family's 1533-position model. The record is from RNAcentral.